UCGCAAGAGUGAACUAGCUAACUGAAAUCAUAGAAUUUCUUCAAAUUCAUGAUGUCGUAAGGGAAAAUAAUGAUAAUACCUUACUAUGAGUGUCGUCCAAAUCUGGUGCCAGAAGACUCGGUAAUACCAGAGACGCAAACGUUAAUCAUCAUAAACAGGCGUAAAGGGUGUGUAGGCAGCUAUCAGAUGACUAUGAUUAUAAAAUAAAGUAGUCUAAUUGAUAGCUAGAAUCAAACAGAGGUUAUGGUGUAUAACGCCUAGAGGAGGGCUGAUAUCCUUAGAUCCUAGGCAGAAUACUCAGGGCGAAGGCCACUUUCCACUAAUGAUUGACGCUGAGACACGAAGGUUAGGGUAGGAAAUAGGAUUAGAUACCCCGGUACUCCUUUCUGUAAACGAUGAAUGGUAGUCAUUAGUACAAUAAUUUAACUAGAGACGAAGUUAACACAAUAACCAUUCCGCCUUGUGAGUACUACUGCAAAGUAGAAAACAAAAAAAUUAGUCGGUCUCGAAGCAAACGGAGUGAAGCAUGUUAUUUAAUACGAUAAUCCGCGUAAAACCU
This 559-nucleotide ribosomal RNA is filed under the name Perenniporia contraria. Its description in RNAcentral is "SSU rRNA". It matches the Rfam family "Bacterial small subunit ribosomal RNA", at positions 375 to 971 of the family's 1533-position model. The record is from RNAcentral. Lineage: Eukaryota; Fungi; Basidiomycota; Agaricomycetes; Polyporales; Polyporaceae.